This 911-nucleotide ribosomal RNA is filed under the name Gymnoascus reessii. Its description in RNAcentral is "LSU rRNA". It matches the Rfam family "Eukaryotic large subunit ribosomal RNA", at positions 38 to 965 of the family's 3401-position model. The record is from RNAcentral. Lineage: Eukaryota; Fungi; Ascomycota; Eurotiomycetes; Onygenales; Gymnoascaceae.
GCAUAUCAAUAAGCGGAGGAAAAGAAACCAACAGGGAUUGCCUCAGUAACGGCGAGUGAAGCGGCAAGAGCUCAAAUUUGAAAUCUGGUCCUUUCAGGGCCCGAGUUGUAAUUUGCAGAGGAUGCUUUGGGUGCGGCCGCGGCGUAAGUGCCCUGGAACGGGCUGUCGCAGAGGGUGAGAAUCCCGUCUUGAGUCGCCGGUUCGCGCCCGUGUAAAGCUCCUUCGACGAGUCGAGUUGUUUGGGAAUGCAGCUCUAAAUGGGUGGUAAAUUUCAUCUAAAGCUAAAUAUUGGCUGGAGACCGAUAGCGCACAAGUAGAGUGAUCGAAAGGUUAAAAGCACCUUGAAAAGGGAGUUAAAUAGCACGUGAAAUUGUUGAAAGGGAAGCGCUUGCAACCAGACUCGGCCGCAGAGGCUCAACGGGCACGUGUGCCUGUGCACUCCUCUGUGGUCGGGCCAGCAUCAGUUCUGGCGACCGGUCAAAGGCCCCUGGAAUGUGUCGUCCUCCGGGACGUCUUAUAGCCAGGGGUGCAAUGCGGCCAGCCGGGACUGAGGAACGCGCUUCGGCACGGAUGCUGGCAUAAUGGUUGUAAGCGGCCCGUCUUGAAACACGGACCAAGGAGUCUAACAUCCACGCGAGUGUUCGGGUGUCAAACCCGUGCGCGCAGUGAAAGCGAACGGAGGUGGGAUCCCCGCAAGGGGCGCACCAUCGACCGAUCCUGAAGUCUUCGGAUGGAUUUGAGUAAGAGCGUGGCUGUUGGGACCCGAAAGAUGGUGAACUAUGCCUGAAUAGGGCGAAGCCAGAGGAAACUACUGGUGGAGGCUCGCAGCGGUUCUGACGUGCAAAUCGAUCGUCAAAAUUUGGGUAUAGGGGCGAAAGACUAAUCGAUCAUCUAGUAGCUGAUCUGUCGAG